CGGGAUGUGGCGCAGUCUGGUAGCGCGUACGGUUCGGGACCGUAAGGUCGGAGGUUCAAAUCCUCUCAUCCCGA
Molecule: non-coding RNA, 74 nt
Organism: Desulfobacterales bacterium C00003106
Lineage: Bacteria; Pseudomonadati; Thermodesulfobacteriota; Desulfobacteria; Desulfobacterales
Source: Rfam